ACACCUCAACUCUUGUGGUUUCCCACAAUGAGCUUGGACCAUGGAGGUUUUUGUUGGCCCUCUGGUCAGCUCCUCUCAAAUGGAUCAGCUUACCGGUGUUUGGUGGCAUCAUGGGUGUGAUAACUAUCUACGCUUGUGGUCGUCUCCAAAUAACCUCCAGUGAUGGAGGUUCGCUGGAGCUUAUAAACGUCUCUCCCCAGUGAAGACAGCCUUUGAAC
Molecule: unclassified non-coding RNA, 218 nt
Filed under: uncultured Thelephoraceae
Lineage: Eukaryota; Fungi; Basidiomycota; Agaricomycetes; Thelephorales; Thelephoraceae
Description: sequence contains ITS2
Source: RNAcentral